RNAcentral lists this ribosomal RNA (855 nucleotides) under uncultured Bacillota bacterium. RNAcentral describes it as "bacterial SSU rRNA". It matches the Rfam family "Bacterial small subunit ribosomal RNA", at positions 541 to 1396 of the family's 1533-position model. Lineage: Bacteria; Bacillati; Bacillota. The record is from RNAcentral.
UUAUCCGGAUUUAUUGGGCGUAAAGCGAGCGCAGGCGGUUGCUUAGGUCUGAUGUGAAAGCCUUCGGCUUAACCGAAGAAGUGCAUCGGAAACCGGGCAACUUGAGUGCAGAAGAGGACAGUGGAACUCCAUGUGUAGCGGUGGAAUGCGUAGAUAUAUGGAAGAACACCAGUGGCGAAGGCGGCUGUCUGGUCUGCAACUGACGCUGAGGCUCGAAAGCAUGGGUAGCGAACAGGAUUAGAUACCCUGGUAGUCCAUGCCGUAAACGAUGAGUGCUAGGUGUUGGAGGGUUUCCGCCCUUCAGUGCCGGAGCUAACGCAUUAAGCACUCCGCCUGGGGAGUACGACCGCAAGGUUGAAACUCAAAGGAAUUGACGGGGGCCCGCACAAGCGGUGGAGCAUGUGGUUUAAUUCGAAGCUACGCGAAGAACCUUACCAGGUCUUGACAUCUUGCGCUAACCUUAGAGAUAAGGCGUUCCCUUCGGGGACGCAAUGACAGGUGGUGCAUGGUCGUCGUCAGCUCGUGUCGUGAGAUGUUGGGUUAAGUCCCGCAACGAGCGCAACCCUUGUUACUAGUUGCCAGCAUUAAGUUGGGCACUCUAGUGAGACUGCCGGUGACAAACCGGAGGAAGGUGGGGACGACGUCAGAUCAUCAUGCCCCUUAUGACCUGGGCUACACACGUGCUACAAUGGACGGUACAACGAGUCGCAAGCUCGCGAGAGUAAGCUAAUCUCUUAAAGCCGUUCUCAGUUCGGACUGUAGGCUGCAACUCGCCUACACGAAGUCGGAAUCGCUAGUAAUCGCGGAUCAGCAUGCCGCGGUGAAUACGUUCCCGGGCAUUGCACACACCGCCCG